Gambusia affinis (western mosquitofish) is the source of this 679-nucleotide long non-coding RNA. RefSeq lists it as uncharacterized. The transcript has 3 exons. NCBI's taxonomy places the organism in Eukaryota, Metazoa, Chordata, Actinopteri, Cyprinodontiformes, Poeciliidae. The record is from RefSeq and is a predicted model, not a curated record.
GACAAAACGAGCAGCUGCUAUAAUCCGCCGUGUAUCUGUCUUACAAGGACUGAUGGUUUCCUCACCGCAGAGUUUCCAGUUGGUAACUGGAGCCACAGCGACGCCGCAUUUAAUCACUGAGCUGAAGGUCAGGAGAAGGACGGACGACAGGAAGCCUCCAUACGCCUGGAGACACAAAAAUAUCUCACUGAGAUGGAUAAACCCUAAAACAGUCAGUAGUUCUGGAGCAGCAGUCGUAAAUCCUGUCGAGGUUCAGAGAGUCGAGAUCGAUCAGCGGAAAAAACCUCCAGCAGCGCGGCGAGCGGCAGCUCUGAUGCUUCCACACAGGAAGUUUGGCAAUGAAUUGAGAGCAGCGGCAGGAAGUGAUGAGAGGUGGCAGGAAGUGAUGAGAGCAGCAGCAGGAAGUGAUGAGAGGUGGCAGGAAGUGAUGAGAGCAGCGGCAGGAAGUGAUGAGAGCAGCAGCAGGAAGUGAUGAGAGGUGGCAGGAAGUGAUGAGAGGUGGCAGGAAGUGAUGAGAGGUGGCAGGAAGUGAUGAGAGCAGCGGCAGGAAGUGAUGAGAGGUGGCAGGAAGUGAUGAGAGCAGCGGCAGGAAGUGAUGAGAGGUGGCAGGAAGUGAUAUCAGACUGAUUGCAGCUCCGAUCUGUCCGCUCUCACAGGAAGCUGAACGCUGCAGAUCUAA